CGAACGAGUUUAGGCUCGUGGCGUACGGCUCAGUAACACGUGGAUAACCUACCCUUAGGACUGGGAUAACCCUGGGAAACUGGGGAUAAUACUAGAUAGGCAAUUUUUCCCUGGAAUGGUUUUUUGAUUAAAUGUUUUUUCGCCUAAGGAUGGGUCUGCGGCCGAUUAGGUAGUUGGUUAGGUAACGGCUUACCAAGCCAUUGAUCGGUACGGGUUGUGAGAGCAAGAGCCCGGAGAUGGAACCUGAGACAAGGUUCCAGGCCCUACGGGGUGCAGCAGGCGCGAAACCUCCGCAAUGUGAGAAAUCGCGGCGGGGGGAUCCCAAGUGCCAUUCUUAACGGGAUGGCUUUUCAUUAGUGUGAA
RNAcentral lists this ribosomal RNA (363 nucleotides) under uncultured archaeon. RNAcentral describes it as "bacterial SSU rRNA". It matches the Rfam family "Archaeal small subunit ribosomal RNA", at positions 59 to 423 of the family's 1478-position model. The record is from RNAcentral.